Molecule: ribosomal RNA, 497 nt
Filed under: uncultured bacterium
Lineage: Bacteria
Description: partial 16S ribosomal RNA
Rfam family: Bacterial small subunit ribosomal RNA
Source: RNAcentral
GAUGAACGCUGGCGGCGUGCCUAAUACAUGCAAGUCGAGCGAACAGACGAGGAGCUUGCUCCUCUGACGUUAGCGGCGGACGGGUGAGUAACACGUGGAUAACCUACCUAUAAGACUGGGAUAACUUCGGGAAACCGGAGCUAAUACCGGAUAAUAUAUUGAACCGCAUGGUUCAAUAGUGAAAGACGGUUUUGCUGUCACUUAUAGAUGGAUCCGCGCCGCAUUAGCUAGUUGGUAAGGUAACGGCUUACCAAGGCAGCGAUGCGUAGCCGACCUGAGAGGGUGAUCGGCCACACUGGAACUGAGACACGGUCCAGACUCCUACGGGAGGCAGCAGUAGGGAAUCUUCUGCAAUGGGCGAAAGCCUGACGGAGCAACGCCGCGUGAGUGAUGAAGGUCUUCGGAUCGUAAAACUCUGUUAUUAGGGAAGAACAAAUGUGUAAGUAACUAUGCACGUCUUGACGGUACCUAAUCAGAAAGCCACGGCUAACUACGUG